This 1495-nucleotide ribosomal RNA is filed under the name Vibrio cholerae. RNAcentral's name for it is "partial 23S ribosomal RNA". It matches the Rfam family "Bacterial large subunit ribosomal RNA", at positions 1 to 1555 of the family's 2925-position model. The record is from RNAcentral. Lineage: Bacteria; Pseudomonadati; Pseudomonadota; Gammaproteobacteria; Vibrionales; Vibrionaceae.
GGUUAAGUGACUAAGCGUACACGGUGGAUGCCUGGGCAGUCAGAGGCGAUGAAGGACGUACUAACUUGCGAUAAGCGCAGAUAAGGCAGUAAGAGCCGUUUGAGUCUGCGAUUUCCGAAUGGGGAAACCCAACUGCAUAAGCAGUUACUGUUAACUGAAUACAUAGGUUAACAGAGCAAACCGGGGGAACUGAAACAUCUAAGUACCCCGAGGAGAAGAAAUCAACCGAGAUUCCGGUAGUAGCGGCGAGCGAACCUGGAUUAGCCCUUAAGCACUCGGUGAAGUAGGUGAACAAGCUGGAAAGCUUGGCGAUACAGGGUGAUAGCCCCGUAACCGACGCUUCAUCGAGCGUGAAAUCGAGUAGGGCGGGACACGUGAUAUCCUGUCUGAAUAUGGGGGGACCAUCCUCCAAGGCUAAAUACUCCUGACUGACCGAUAGUGAACCAGUACCGUGAGGGAAAGGCGAAAAGAACCCCUGUGAGGGGAGUGAAAUAGAACCUGAAACCGUGUACGUACAAGCAGUAGGAGCACCUUCGUGGUGUGACUGCGUACCUUUUGUAUAAUGGGUCAGCGACUUAUAUUCAGUGGCAAGGUUAACCGUAUAGGGGAGCCGUAGCGAAAGCGAGUCUUAACUGGGCGUUCAGUCUCUGGAUAUAGACCCGAAACCGGGUGAUCUAGCCAUGGGCAGGUUGAAGGUUGAGUAACAUCAACUGGAGGACCGAACCGACUAAUGUUGAAAAAUUAGCGGAUGACUUGUGGCUAGGGGUGAAAGGCCAAUCAAACUCGGAGAUAGCUGGUUCUCCCCGAAAGCUAUUUAGGUAGCGCCUCGGACGAAUACUACUGGGGGUAGAGCACUGUUAAGGCUAGGGGGUCAUCCCGACUUACCAACCCUUUGCAAACUCCGAAUACCAGUAAGUACUAUCCGGGAGACACACGGCGGGUGCUAACGUCCGUCGUGGAGAGGGAAACAACCCAGACCGCCAGCUAAGGUCCCAAAGUAUUGCUAAGUGGGAAACGAUGUGGGAAGGCUCAGACAGCUAGGAUGUUGGCUUAGAAGCAGCCAUCAUUUAAAGAAAGCGUAAUAGCUCACUAGUCGAGUCGGCCUGCGCGGAAGAUGUAACGGGGCUAAGCAAUACACCGAAGCUGCGGCAAUAUCUUUUAGAUAUUGGGUAGGGGAGCGUUCUGUAAGCCGUUGAAGGUGAAUCGUAAGGUUUGCUGGAGGUAUCAGAAGUGCGAAUGCUGACAUGAGUAACGACAAAGGGGGUGAAAAACCUCCUCGCCGGAAGACCAAGGGUUCCUGUCCAACGUUAAUCGGGGCAGGGUGAGUCGACCCCUAAGGUGAGGCCGAAAGGCGUAAUCGAUGGGAAACGGGUUAAUAUUCCCGUACUUCUGACUAUUGCGAUGGGGGGACGGAGAAGGCUAGGUGGGCCAGGCGACGGUUGUCCUGGUUCAAGUGCGUAGGCUUGAGAGUUAGGUAAAUCCGGCUCUCUCUAAG